GAGGGCGGCCGCGGGAAUUCGAUUCAGGCCUAACACAUGCAAGUCGAACGAUGAAGCAGGAGCUUGCUCCGGUGGAUUAGUGGCGAACGGGUGAGUAACACGUGAGCAAUCUGCCCUUGACUCUGGGAUAACUGCGGGAAACUGUAGCUAAUACCGGAUACGAGACUGAGAGGCAUCUUUCAGUCUGGAAAGAAUUUCGGUCAAGGAUGAGCUCGCGGCCUAUCAGCUAGUUGGUGAGGUAAUGGCUCACCAAGGCGACGACGGGUAGCCGGCCUGAGAGGGGGGCCGGCCACACUGGAACUGAGACACGGUCCAGACUCCUACGGGAGGCAGCAGUGGGGAAU
This 344-nucleotide ribosomal RNA is filed under the name uncultured bacterium. RNAcentral describes it as "bacterial SSU rRNA". It matches the Rfam family "Bacterial small subunit ribosomal RNA", at positions 43 to 362 of the family's 1533-position model. The record is from RNAcentral.